CGGGUUGUAGCUUAGUAGUAGAGUGCUUGCCUAGCAUGUGUGAGGCCCUGGGUUUGAUCCCCAGCAGCACAU
RNAcentral lists this transfer RNA (72 nucleotides) under Ictidomys tridecemlineatus (thirteen-lined ground squirrel). RNAcentral describes it as "Spermophilus tridecemlineatus (thirteen-lined ground squirrel) tRNA". It matches the Rfam family "tRNA". From Rfam's summary of the family: Transfer RNA (tRNA) molecules are approximately 80 nucleotides in length. Their secondary structure includes four short double-helical elements and three loops (D, anti-codon, and T loops). Further hydrogen bonds mediate the characteristic L-shaped molecular structure. tRNAs have two regions of fundamental functional importance: the anti-codon, which is responsible for specific mRNA codon recognition, and the 3' end, to which the tRNAs corresponding amino acid is attached (by aminoacyl-tRNA synthetases). tRNAs cope with the degeneracy of the genetic code in two manners: having more than one tRNA (with a specific anti-codon) for a particular amino acid; and 'wobble' base-pairing, i.e. permitting non-standard base-pairing at the 3rd anti-codon position. Lineage: Eukaryota; Metazoa; Chordata; Mammalia; Rodentia; Sciuridae. RNAcentral also lists the same sequence under 1 other name. The record is from Rfam by way of RNAcentral.